Long non-coding RNA from Crotalus tigris (Tiger rattlesnake), 1990 nucleotides. RefSeq lists it as uncharacterized. The record is from RefSeq and is a predicted model, not a curated record. The transcript has 3 exons. NCBI's taxonomy places the organism in Eukaryota, Metazoa, Chordata, Lepidosauria, Squamata, Viperidae.
CUUCUGACGCGCCACCUGCGGAGUCUAUAAAGAGGGGCGGGGGCGAAGGCGUUUGCUUAGGAAGCUGCGAAGCUCGUGAUUGGUCAGUUUUUCGCUAAACUCCUAAACAUUUUUGGAAGUCGCGGAGCAUGCUGGCUGAGUCUUUGGAGCACCUGAUCUCCUAACAAUUCUGGAGGCAUCUGGGCUGAAGAAAUAGAGACUAGUAUAGAUAUUGGAUGGAUGGAUGGAUGGAAAGGGAUGAAUUGAGAGAAAUACAUAAUAGCUAAAGCAAUGUGCACAGGUGCUCCAGUUCCCAGCAUUCCAACCAGCUGCAACCCAACCCUCCUGGAGGGCACCAAGUUGGAGAAGACUGCACAAUGGAUGAACCUUGCUUCAAGAUCAUCAGCAACAAUGGUUAAGGCACCUGACAUCUGGAUGGAUGGGUGGAUAGAAGAAAUAAUGUUUAAACUUUAAGGUGAUCUCCAUCAGUUGAUAGAGAUGUCAAAGAUUCCCUGCUAGCUUCUGAAAUUCUUCUCCUGCAGAUGCUGUAAUUCCUACAUUGCCAUGUUAUACCUCUCACCCUCUUAACACACAGUCAUUCUCCAAUUGCUCUCUCAGAUCACAUAGGGGUGCAUAGAAGCCAAGUCAGUGGAGAACAAGGCACCUCUUGUCCAGUGUCUCUUUUAACAACUCCAUACUAAAGUUAACAAUCCAGAGACAAACAGAGCAAACAGAGAAGGGGAAUUGAGGCAAUUGAAAAAGUAUGUGUUAGAUUCAAGUCUACUAGAGAUCAGAGUUGGGUGGUUACACCUUUCCUCCACCCUCUGGAAAUUCUCAAGGAAAGGAUAAGUACCAGGAUUAUUUCCUUGGCCCUCUAGAGCAGUGUUUUUCAAACUUGGCUACAUUCAUACCUGUGGGCUUCAACUCCCAUAAUGCUGGCUGGGAAAUUCUGGGAGUUGAAGUCCACGUAUCUUAAAGUUGCCACAUUUGAAAAAUGCUGCUUUACAGGACUUUGCUGUUUUAAUUCCUUAGUCAGCAGCUAUUCCAUCACCCUAGUUAGUUGUUGCAAGAACUUUAAAAACUGGUACUGCUUUUGUUUAUUCUUUUCUCUCUUCCCCCUCUCAAUGCCUUUUUCUUGUGGGACAAAUGUAAAUAGGAACUAAUCAUGUCUGUAAAUUAGCCCAAAUGUGAUUAACAUAAUCAAAUACAUCAAUAAAUAAAAUCCUUGCAACAUUUUGUUUAUUAGUUUAUCAUUUUAAACUACUAUUGUAAACCUAAGAAAGGAAAUGCCCCCUUGUGGUCUUGAAGGGCCAUGAGCUUUCUAUUGUGGUCUCAUUGCAGCUUGCAUAAAGAUUGUUCUACCGUAUAUCCAUAGAAUAGGUCAUUUUUCUGAGAGAUUUCAGCUAAAUCUGAGCCUAGCAGCAUUUGUAAUACAGGUAAUACAGAGUCUUAGAGGCAGAUACUCUUCUGUUGUUCCCCUAGCAGGGACUCAAGGAUUCUCCUCUACCUAAUUCCAAAGACAAUUUGGGGCCGGAGAACAUAACUUUCACAACAUUUAUCACUCCUCUUAUCUGAUAAAAACCCAAAUAUAUCCAGCUAAGUUCCCCAGUUUUAUGCUCCAUUAUAUGCUAUUCAUCUUACUGUAGUUGAAGAUUGAUUCAUUUACUUACUUGCAUUUUAUAUCAUUUUGUUAAAUUACAAUUAUACUUUUAUCAUUGUAUUUUUAUACUGUAUUUUAUACUGUAUUCUUAUGCCUUAUUAUGACUUAUAUAUAUACUUAUUGUUUGUAGAAUUGACAUAUGUGUGUAUUUAAUAUUCACUUACUUUUUAGAUUGUAUGGCCUUAUUCUUGAAUAAACUGUCUAAUUUUGAUACAUGUAAGAUUGGAGGAAUUGGUAUUUACUACCAAACUUUUUUCUGGAGAGCUGGGCAACAGGAUGAACAUACAUAUAAAAGUAUAGAAAAUAUAUAUUUAUUAUAAUAAUUUUAUCCAAGAAACUAAAGAUGGUACA